GACGAACGCUGGCGGCGUGCUUAACACAUGCAAGUCGAACGGAAAGGCCCUGCUUUUGUGGGGUGCUCGAGUGGCGAACGGGUGAGUAACAUGUGAGUAACCUGCCCUUGACUUUGGGAUAACUUCAGGAAACUGGGGCUAAUACCGGAUAGGAGCUCCUGAUGCAUGGUGGGGGUUGGAAAGUUUCGGCGGUUGGGGAUGGACUCGCGGCUUAUCAGCUUGAUGGUGGGGUAGUGGCUUACCAAGGCUUUGACGGGUAGCUGGCCUGAGAGGGUGACCGGCCACAGUGGGACUGAGAUACGGCCCAGACUCCUACGGGAGGCAGCAGUGGGGAAUAGUGCACGAUGGGCGGAAGCCGGAUGCAGCAACGCCGCGUGCGGGAUGACGGCCUUCGGGUUGUAAACCGCUUUCGCCUGUGACGAAGCGUGAGUGACGGUAAUGGGUAAAGAAGCACCGGCUAACUACGUG
This 468-nucleotide ribosomal RNA is filed under the name uncultured bacterium. Its description in RNAcentral is "partial 16S ribosomal RNA". It matches the Rfam family "Bacterial small subunit ribosomal RNA", at positions 28 to 507 of the family's 1533-position model. The record is from RNAcentral.